This 253-nucleotide ribosomal RNA is filed under the name uncultured bacterium. Its description in RNAcentral is "partial 16S ribosomal RNA". It matches the Rfam family "Bacterial small subunit ribosomal RNA", at positions 524 to 776 of the family's 1533-position model. The record is from RNAcentral.
UACGUAGGGUGCAAGCGUUAAUCGGAAUUACUGGGCGUAAAGCGUGCGCAGGCGGUUAUUCAAGUCAGAUGUGAAAUCCCCGGGCUCAACCUGGGAACUGCAUUUGUGACUGGAUAGCUAGAGUACGGUAGAGGGGGAUGGAAUUCCGCGUGUAGCAGUGAAAUGCGUAGAUAUGCGGAGGAACACCGAUGGCGAAGGCAAUCCCCUGGACCUGUACUGACGCUCAUGCACGAAAGCGUGGGGAGCAAACAGG